Molecule: non-coding RNA, 3633 nt
Organism: Rattus norvegicus (Norway rat)
Lineage: Eukaryota; Metazoa; Chordata; Mammalia; Rodentia; Muridae
Source: RefSeq, a predicted model, not a curated record
UGACAAGGCUUCAUACACCAUGGUACAAUGAUCUACGGCAGUUGAUGCUGGGUUUAAUUCCUCUGGACUAAUGAAUGAGUGAAUAUUUAUUCAGCAAGUAGACUUGAAACCUGGUUCAAUGCUAACAACAUUCUUGACUCAGAGUUACUUCUAGCACUGUCUCCCAGUGACCAGGAGAGUGGAAAACCCUAGUCGCAGAGGCAGAAUGUUGCCAAAACCAACCAACCAACCAACCAACCAACCAACCAACCAACCAACAAAGUAACAAGGUUGGGGAUGGAAUCUCACCGUAUUGAAGAACCCGAAGAUGACAUGAAAUGCAAAACAGGCUGCGCUAGACGUGGAUAAAGAGUGCGACUGCUGGAAGUGAAGAGCUUGAGGAAACAGACUGACCUAAAUAAUCAUACAGGGUAAGCUUUUGACUGUAUUGUGAGAACAAAGUGAACUGGACACUGCUAUCUUCUAAGUCUGUUCUCCUGAGGAAUAAGGGUUAAUAAUUAUGACACACACAACACAUGCAGACACCUAUGUAUUUAUCCAGUACAAAAUGACCUAUACCAAGAACACAGUGAAUUUCUCACCUGAUAAUGACUUUAUUCUACAGCCAUGGGCUUUGUUUUUUUUUUUUCCCUUUUCUUGUAUUAAAUGGCUAAAUUGUUUAAGACAGGAUACUGGCAGUCACUACUUUCUGCCUAUGUUGUGUCUCCUUCUUGUUUGGCUUGUUUUUCCACAGCCUAGCUGGCCCUUAACCAUGUCCCUGAUGUCUUCCUGUCUUGUUCCCACAUUGUGAAGGAUACAAGAACCCUUAUUGUAGAGAGAUUUAAGGAUCUCGAUGCUUAAAAUACAUUGUUUGGUUAAGAAUAAUAACAAAUUCAGCUGAGUUCAGUGAAAUAUGUAUCAACGAUAUUAGAAGAUACCAUUGGAUGAUAGAAACUACAGUUGCUUUUGUUUCAAAAAAAAAAAAGACGUGAGUGAACUCUUUUGAUAUUUCUGAGAUUGAUCGAGCUGGCAUAAAGAUAUAUGUAAGUUUGUCUUAGCAGCAAACUAGUGAAAUGGUAGCUCUAAGAAACAUGAGCAGAAUUCUGAAACCAAGUCGUCAGAUUACUAAUGCAUUUGUUAUCUUUCGAUUGUCUACACUCAGCGAAGUGGUGUAACUUAACGAUGCUUUGCCAUUAAUCAGAAAUAGCCUAAAAACAUGCACAUAGAACACAAACCUGGAUUGCAGGAUUGCAGGAGGAGUAAAACAAAGGGAAAGUUCCAGAGAAAGUUAUGCCAUUUAACACUGCUGGGGGCUGACUUCCUGGGAAUUCACAAUUUUAGAAACUGGCAUUUAUGUUCAUACAAUCACGAUACUCUUCUCAGGGAUAGACAGUGCUCGCGCUUUUGAUUAACACAACUUACUGAAGAACAUAGAAGGACGAGCACGUGCCUCAGAUUAAAAUAUAACAGCCGAAAAGACAGCAGCAUCACUUUUUCCUCACAAUCUUAGAACGCUCAACUAUGAUUGAUUUCAUACUCACAUACAAAUGCACUGUUAAUGUAGAAAUAAAUGCUUCCUGGCUAAAUAUUCACUUCCUCGAAUCCGCCCGCCAUCCUCUGGUUUGAGGAAAAGCAGGGGAAUUGAGCAGUAAUUAAAUGCUAAUGUUUUUGUGAUCCAUGUAAAUGUUACUGUGAAGGAACAAUUCCCAGAGUUGAGGGAGUUCCUAAGAAGAGAGAUACCUGAUGGGGUAUGUAGGCUGUGCGUUGGCCAGGCAGGCUGGUUGUAACAAAUGGCAAAUAGAUCCCCUAAAGAUAAGAGAGUAGCAGAAGUCAGGGUUGGGGAGAUGAACAGGAAGUAAGAGGCAAGUAUCCAGGGAGAUGCCAAGUGGGUAGGGAAUUCUGCUCACCAGGACUGAUGAAGCUAGCCUGCCAUUCAGCUCAAAGGGCCCUAAAAUUGCAGCAGCACAGCCAUAAAGUGGCUAGAAACAAACAUCAUUACAGGCCUGAAGUGGCAGCCAGGGAGAGCGUUGAGUACCAGGCAGGAGAGAGGUGGCGACAGACUGCCCUGACUUGCCACUCUCUCUCUUCCAAACAGGCUCUUUUGCUUCCAUGAUGCGGGAGCAUAAAGAGACAGAAACCUGGACCAUGCAACCCAGGAAGCUGAUAAGCUGCAGACAAGAGAGCUAACUCAGGAAGGAAGCAGAUUAGAGAGAAGAGAAAAAGAAGAAGCUGCCGGGAAGUUUCUUCAAACAACCUGUAUCGUUCGCUAUGAAGAAUUAACUUUCCCAUGAAGACUCUAUGACUGUUCCUUUAAUACUGUUCCACCUGUUAUUAAAACAGCUUAAAAGCAGCAUACUGUACGUGGGUACAGUAUGACAAGACAAAGGGGACCAAUAAAGAAUCGGGACCAGGAAGAGUGAUUGCAGACAACGGACACAAAUUAUGGAAGAGGAUAUGAAGAUAAUUGUUUUGCAAGUUCUAAAUCUGUUGGGGAGAUUUUGCUUGUGGUGGUUAAUAACUGCAUAGAGAGAUAUUCAGCAGUGAAAGAAUAAAAUUCAAUAUGAAGCUUCACAACUUCUAUGAACAGUAACUUCCACUGUAGAAGUUCACUGAAAAGUAUAGCCUUUGGACUGUUGUUAUUGUAUUAUUAUUAUCGUCAUCAUCGUCAUCGUCAUCAUCAUCAUCACCAUUAUUACUUGAAACUUUGAAAAUAAAAGUUAAAUGUUUUUGACGUGAUAUUUCUAUUAGAUACAUGAUUUAUUCUGCUGUGGAUAAACAGAAUUUUCUUUUUAAAAGUUCUUCUGGAAAGCUGGGCUUUCACUGAACUUUGCUUUGAGAAAAGUUACAGCUUUUGAAGUCACCGUAUACGUAAAGGUGCCUAUAUAUUUGUAAAUUGUUACUCUCACUUGGAAUCCCAGUGGUCCUCCAAAGUGAACCUUUUGAGUGAAGGGACAAUGCCUGAAGAACUUUUGGUCUGAUUUCAUGCACAAGAUCAGUGCAGUUUGAAAUUCCUGCAUGGAGCAGGGAGUUACUCCAAGGCCCAAUUCCAAAUUGAUGGCUGACCUGGGAGCGAGAGUUGCCUUUCAUUGUUGGGGUCCCCACUGGACGGCUGCGUAUGCUCAGCUAUACAAGGAUGGAUGUCACUGUUUGGACUCUGUGAGCUAUAAAAAGCAAACAGAGGGCUUGAAACUAAAAGGGAGGGGAACUCAGGGGGCUCAAGGGAAAGAAAUGAGGGUGAAUAUAUUAAGAUCCAUCUAUGAAAAUUUCAAAGAGUAAGAAUAAAUUAAGAUAGCCCUAAAGAAAAUUGUUUUGAAGAGAAAAUGUUUCCAGUUUAUUGCAGCCCAUACUUUUAAAUCAUUCUUAUUUUAAAAUUAAGUUAGAUUUAUUAGUCUAACUAUUGCUUACUUUCUGAUUUAUGUUUUUAUUAGAUUUAAUUACAUUUAACAUUAAAGUUAUUUUUAUUGGUUUGCUCUGCCAAUUUUAAAAUAGACUGAAAUGAGUAAAUUUCUAUUUCUUAAGUUAAUACAACUAAGCGAAUUUUCUGAGUGCAUCGGUGUUUGUAUCUUUGUGUUCUCUGUGUACUUACUUGUCUUUCAACAUGUCAUGAGAAUUAAUUCCUUCAAAUUUUACUUGUAAUAAAUAUAUCACCUAGUC